Molecule: ribosomal RNA, 495 nt
Filed under: uncultured bacterium
Lineage: Bacteria
Description: partial 16S ribosomal RNA
Rfam family: Bacterial small subunit ribosomal RNA
Source: RNAcentral
GAUGAACGCUGGCGGCGUGCCUAAUACAUGCAAGUAGAACGCUGAAGGAGGAGCUUGCUCUUCUGGAUGAGUUGCGAACGGGUGAGUAACGCGUAGGUAACCUGCCUGUUAGCGGGGGAUAACUAUUGGAAACGAUAGCUAAUACCGCAUGACAACAGUUAUUGCAUGAUAACUGUUGAAAAGUGGCAACUGCUCCACUACCAGAUGGACCUGCGUUGUAUUAGCUAGUUGGUGAGGUAACGGCUCACCAAGGCGACGAUACAUAGCCGACCUGAGAGGGGGAUCGGCCACACUGGGAGGGAGACACGGCCCAGAGUGCUACGGGAGGCAGCAGUAGGGAAUCGUGGGGCAUGGACGGAAGUCUGAGCGAGAAACGCCGAGGGAGUGAAGAAGGGUGUCGGAUCGUAAAGCUCGGUUGUAAGAGAAGAACGAGUGUGAGAGUGGAACGUUCACACUGUGACGGUAUCUUACCAGAAAGGGACGGCUAACUACGUG